Musa acuminata subsp. malaccensis (wild Malaysian banana) is the source of this 662-nucleotide long non-coding RNA. RefSeq lists it as uncharacterized. NCBI's taxonomy places the organism in Eukaryota, Viridiplantae, Streptophyta, Magnoliopsida, Zingiberales, Musaceae. The record is from RefSeq and is a predicted model, not a curated record.
UGAAGCAAGUGAGAUAUCACCACGCUUCUCUUCUCUCUCUCUCUUCUAUUCCUUCUUUUGUGCUCUGCAGCAUCCUCUGCUGGUUCAGUGGUUUCUCUCUCAGUGAAUCUUUUCUUCUUCUUUCUUCGAGUCUAAUCCUGUUUCUUCCUUUUGUGAUGCAAGGCUUGACUGAUUCAUCCAGUGAUCGGUAUCGGGUCGGAGCAAAUGGGAUUUCCUUGGUCAACGGAGAUGCGGCUUUGCUUGUGUAAGGUUGAUGGACUUGCAUAGAAAGGCAGGCAAAAUGUUCCUUGGGAAGGAAGGAUUGUGUGUAACUUGCAAGGCUUUUUCAGUGAGAAAGAGAAGCUCGUCGUCGUCAUCAUCAUCGGAAGGACUGAUCCUGCCACCAACAUGGGAACAAUGUCAAAUCUGACCAACUCGAAAGCUGCAAGACAUUCUUGCAACAUGAUCACGAAAGGUUGGUUCAUUACUGAUGCAUCAGUUUGUAUCACUUGUGAUGUUGAUCAGCUGGUAAGGGUGAUUUGCCCUGCAUAUGUUGCUUCUUUUGAAAAGAUUAUAUGGCUUCAUAUAAGUUAAAUUUAUGUUGUAACUCCAGAAAGUUGAAAUGUUUUCAUGUGUCUAUUACAGAGCAGUGAUUGUAUACUUGGGUUUUUUGUUUGUACAUG